Small nuclear RNA from Sorex fumeus (smoky shrew), 103 nucleotides. Lineage: Eukaryota; Metazoa; Chordata; Mammalia; Eulipotyphla; Soricidae. The record is from RefSeq and is a predicted model, not a curated record.
GUGCUUGCUUCAGCAGCACAUAUGCUGAAAUUGGAACAUACAGAGAUUAGCAUGGCCCCUGAGCAAGGAUGACACACAAAUUCGUGAAGCAUUCCAUAUUUUU